GCAGCAUGAUCUAGCUUGCUAGAUUGAUGGCGAGUGGCGAACGGGUGAGUAAUACAUCGGAACGUGCCCUGUAGUGGUGGAUAACUAGUCGAAAGAUUAGCUAAUACCGCAUACGACCUGAGGGUGAAAGUGGGGGACCGCAAGGCCUCAUGCUAUAGGAGCGGCCGAUGUCUGAUUAGCUAGUUGGUGAGGUAAAGGCUCACCAAGGCGACGAUCAGUAGCUGGUCUGAGAGGACGAUCAGCCACACUGGGACUGAGACACGGCCCAGACUCCUACGGGAGGCAGCAGUGGGGAAUUUUGGACAAUGGGCGAAAGCCUGAUCCAGCAAUGCCGCGUGUGUGAAGAAGGCCUUCGGGUUGUAAAGCACUUUUGUCCGGAAAGAAAUGGCUCUGGUUAAUACCUGGGGUCGAUGACGGUACCGGAAGAAUAAGGACCGGCUAACUACGUGCCAGCAGCCGCGGUAAUACGUAGGGUCCAAGCGUUAAUCGGAAUUACUGGGCGUAAAGCGUGCGCAGGCGGUUGUGCAAGACCGAUGUGAAAUCCCCGAGCUUAACUUGGGAAUUGCAUUGGUGACUGCACGGCUAGAGUGUGUCAGAGGGGGGUAGAAUUCCACGUGUAGCAGUGAAAUGCGUAGAGAUGUGGAGGAAUACCGAUGGCGAAGGCAGCCCCCUGGGAUAACACUGACGCUCAUGCACGA
Molecule: ribosomal RNA, 698 nt
Filed under: uncultured Ralstonia sp.
Lineage: Bacteria; Pseudomonadati; Pseudomonadota; Betaproteobacteria; Burkholderiales; Burkholderiaceae
Description: bacterial SSU rRNA
Rfam family: Bacterial small subunit ribosomal RNA
Source: RNAcentral